RNAcentral lists this ribosomal RNA (497 nucleotides) under uncultured bacterium. Its description in RNAcentral is "partial 16S ribosomal RNA". It matches the Rfam family "Bacterial small subunit ribosomal RNA", at positions 28 to 507 of the family's 1533-position model. The record is from RNAcentral.
GAUGAACGCUGGCGGCGUGCCUAAUACAUGCAAGUCGAGCGAACAGACGAGGAGCUUGCUCCUCUGACGUUAGCGGCGGACGGGCGAGUAACACGUGGAUAACCUACCUAUAAGACUGGGAUAACUUCGGGAAACAGGAGCUAAUACCGGAUCAUAUAUUGAACCGCAUGGUUCAAUAGUGAAAGACGGUUUUGCUGUCACUUAUAGAUGGAUCCGCGCCGCAUUAGCUAGUUGGUAAGGUAACGGCUUACCAAGGCAACGAUGCGUAGCCGACCUGAGAGGGUGAUCGGCCACACUGGAACUUAGACACGGUCCAGACUCCUACGGGAGGCAGCAGUAGGGAAUCUUCCGCAAUUGGCGAAAGCCUGACGGAGCAACGCCGCGUGGGUGAUGAAGGGCUUCGGAUCUUAAAACUCUGUUAUUAGGGAAGAACAAAUGUGUAAGUAACUAUGCACGUCUUUACGGUACCUAAUCAGAAAGCCACGGCUAACUACGGG